GUUGUCAAAGUCUUUUCUUGACCUCUCUAAGAUGGACCAACAAUCAAAGCUGAAAGAGCGUCUAAAGAAAUACUGUCAGAAGGCAUAUAAACGGGUGCUUGAUAAACCUGUCACUGAACUUCGAGAAGCAGGGAUCUGCAUGCGUGAAAAUCCAUUUUAUGUUGACACUGUUCGCAGCUUUCGGGAUAGGAGAUAUGAAUAUAAAGGACUUAAUAAGGUUUGGAAGGGGAAGUUGUCAGAAGCCAAGGCUAGUGGAAAUUCCAUUAAGAUCCAGGAAGCACAGGACAUGGUUGUGCUUUAUGAUUCAUUGCAACUUGCA
RNAcentral lists this unclassified non-coding RNA (319 nucleotides) under Hevea brasiliensis (rubber tree). The record is from RNAcentral. Lineage: Eukaryota; Viridiplantae; Streptophyta; Magnoliopsida; Malpighiales; Euphorbiaceae.